RNAcentral lists this transfer RNA (71 nucleotides) under Pangasianodon hypophthalmus (striped catfish). RNAcentral's name for it is "tRNA-Glu". Lineage: Eukaryota; Metazoa; Chordata; Actinopteri; Siluriformes; Pangasiidae. The record is from RNAcentral.
UCCCUAGAGGACAGUGAUUAGGCCACAGCACUCUCACCGCUGCGGCACGGGUUCAAUUCCCAGCCAGGGAG